This 239-nucleotide ribosomal RNA is filed under the name uncultured soil bacterium. RNAcentral's name for it is "partial 16S ribosomal RNA". It matches the Rfam family "Bacterial small subunit ribosomal RNA", at positions 26 to 269 of the family's 1533-position model. The record is from RNAcentral.
AGGACGAACGCUGGCGGCGUGCUUAACACAUGCAAGUCGAGCGGUAAGGCCUUUCGGGGUACACGAGCGGCGAACGGGUGAGUAACACGUGGGUGAUCUGCCCUGCACUCUGGGAUAAGCCUGGGAAACUGGGUCUAAUACCGGAUAUGACCUGCUCUCGCAUGGGGGGUGGUGGAAAGAUUUUAUCGGUGCAGGAUGGGCCCGCGGCCUAUCAGCUUGUUGGUGGGGUAACNCGUACC